This 254-nucleotide ribosomal RNA is filed under the name uncultured bacterium. RNAcentral's name for it is "partial 16S ribosomal RNA". It matches the Rfam family "Bacterial small subunit ribosomal RNA", at positions 524 to 776 of the family's 1533-position model. The record is from RNAcentral.
GACGGAGGAUGCAAGCGUUAUCCGGAAUGAUUGGGCGUAAAGCGUCCGCAGGUGGCAAUUCAAGUCUGCUGUUAAAGCGCAGGGCUUAACUCUGUAAAGGCAGUGGAAACUGAAUAGCUAGAGUGUGGUAGGGGCAGAGGGAAUUCCCAGUGUAGCGGUGAAAUGCGUAGAGAUUGGGAAGAACAUCGGUGGCGAAGGCGCUCUGCUGGACCAUAACUGACACUCACGGGACGAAAGCUAGGGGAGCGAAUGGG